UAAUACGUAGGGUGCGAGCGUUAAUCGGAAUUACUGGGCGUAAAGCGUGCGCAGGCGGUUUUGUAAGACAGGCGUGAAAUCCCCGGGCUCAACCUGGGAACUGCGCUUGUGACUGCAAGGCUAGAGUAUGGCAGAGGGGGGUGGAAUUCCACGUGUAGCAGUGAAAUGCGUAGAGAUGUGGAGGAACACCAAUGGCGAAGGCAGCCCCCUGGGCCAAUACUGACGCUCAUGCACGAAAGCGUGGGUAGCAAACAGG
This 256-nucleotide ribosomal RNA is filed under the name uncultured bacterium. RNAcentral describes it as "partial 16S ribosomal RNA". It matches the Rfam family "Bacterial small subunit ribosomal RNA", at positions 521 to 776 of the family's 1533-position model. The record is from RNAcentral.